CGGGAGGGGGGGAGCCGGGUGAAGUGCUGCUUCGUGCGUGGCUCAGUGCCUUUCUUUCUUCUGGCGUGCCUCCCGCCCGAGCUUUGGCCAGUGGAGAUGGCAGGGACCUCAGACCAAGCUGGAUGCGGUAGCCAAGCUGUGAGGAUGCAGGCAGGUACUGGAUGGGGAGCAAAGAUGGCACCAAGGUUUCUCUCCUGCUUUGGGACCCCACCGUGUAGGUGUGAGGUCCUGUCAUGGGGGAAUGUCAGCAGGGAGCUGGGUCCACCUUAAGGCU
RNAcentral lists this long non-coding RNA (274 nucleotides) under Chrysolophus pictus (golden pheasant). RNAcentral's name for it is "lncRNA (ENSCPIG00010014662.1)". Lineage: Eukaryota; Metazoa; Chordata; Aves; Galliformes; Phasianidae. The record is from RNAcentral.